Pseudopipra pipra is the source of this 1805-nucleotide long non-coding RNA. RefSeq lists it as uncharacterized. The record is from RefSeq and is a predicted model, not a curated record. NCBI's taxonomy places the organism in Eukaryota, Metazoa, Chordata, Aves, Passeriformes, Pipridae. The transcript has 4 exons.
CUGUUUAAAAAGCAAGUUUGGGUCCAAAAAGAAAGGAGGUUUUCAGCGAGUGAUUUUAACUAGGCCCUUUGGCACUCGACAGCUCCUCUCUUGUUAUCGAUGCUAAGGGUGUUGUUAAGAGAUGAGGCUCCACGAAGCACGAACGUGAAGUCACAGAGCUUUAGCAAGGGCUGUUGCCAUGUUCAAUAUGUUAUUACAGCUCCAUCACCACAGGCACAAAGAGCAGCAACUCAUCUCUGCCAAAUCCAUCUCUGAAAUCACUCCCCCACUCCAUCCCCUCCAGCAGCAGCAGGCAAACACCAUCGAUUGCUGUUGCAUCUCCUCCAAGGCUUCCACCUCACACUGGGAAGGAAGGAAGACCCUUGGAGAGAAGGGGUGUGCACAGUUGCUGAAGAAGGAGGGUAGCCGAGCUCAUCUGCAAGAUGUCCAGCAGCACCCACACCCCUUCCUAGAAAAUCAGGGAAAGAGAAGAAAACCGGAUAAGGCUGAAAUUGCAGGAGGAGAAGAAAACAGCCAGGACAUCCCUGUUAGUAGCAGGACUGAAUUCUUCCCUAGAACUUUAUUCCAGAUUUUUAUCAGGCACAAGUCGACAGCAAGAGCAAGCCCACGGCAGAUGGGUGGACGUCGAACACACUGGAGGAGGAUCCUCCUACAGCUCCUGGACUUGACAACCCUACUCCACUCGCUCCUGAUGGGCACUCAACUCCACUGGCUCAGCUUCUCAGGGAGAGCCCAGCUGCCUCCCAGUCAUGGCUGCACAGAGAGUUAACAAGAACUGCCAUUCUCCGCAGGGGAAGGAGGACAAAAGCAGGAAAGAGGGUUGGUCAAGCCGCACACUGGCAGAGGUCUCACUGGGAGGGAGCAACAGGAUGCUGGCAGCAUGGGUGUGUCCCCUGUCCAUCAGUGCUACUGCAGCUCCUCAGGAUCCCUCUGCCUGGGUGUCCUGCAGCGCUUGCUGACAGGCACCCCUUCCCCAAAAGAUUUGGGCACGGCCACAGUUGGCCAAGUAAGCACCUCCCUCUCCCAUGGCAGAGGUGCACGGCCAGGGAAGACAGCCCAGCUAUUGCUGGGUCCCUGCUUGCAGACGAUCACCAAAAGCCCAAGAAACAAGCCCAGAACUCUUUUUCCCAAGUGAAAAACAACCCCCAGUGGGGAAGGGAGAGCCCAGCGUGAUCCACACUGCAAACACAAGAGGCUACAGGAGGACACGCGUCCAGGGACGGCCGACGCUCACAGCUCGUUCCAUUCUCCAGCCCCUCUGUGCUAUUGUUCCACAGCAAUAAAUCACGGGGAGGUGCUGGAAUUCUGGGCUGUUUUCUACAAGAGGGAGCCUGGGGUGCCGGAUCUGAGAUGCCGCCUCGCUUUUGCUUGCUAAUUCCCUCGGCGGCCGCUGUGCUCAGUGCCGUUCUGAGCCCUCCACUCCCACGCAUCCCGUCGGAGCUCUGAGCUCUCCCAGUUCAAAGCACUGCUGCGUGUCCACCCCCUCUGCUCCCCUCCCCCAGCCCUGGAUUACUCAAUUAGAGAUUAUGCUUUUGCCAGUUACCUCCAAGCCAACUGGGGCUUUUGCCAAGGUCAACACAAGUUCCAGCCAGUUUCAUUAAUAACUGUGAGACCAACCCACUGGAAACUCUGAGAGGUUAAUCCCAGCAACAGAUCAAUGUUCCCAUAACAAAGCCACAGAGCAGAAACAGGACUGGUGAUUUACCAGCCAGCCCAGCUAUCUGUGCCGGGAGCUGUGGCACUGCCCCUCUGCCCUGUACCAGGGCAAACCCUGCUGCCAGAGACCCCCAUCUCCCACUCCUCUC